This is an RNA transcript of Sesamum indicum (sesame), 2512 nucleotides long. It is a transcript of the gene named pentatricopeptide repeat-containing protein At1g59720, chloroplastic/mitochondrial, with no coding region annotated. The record is from RefSeq and is a predicted model, not a curated record. Lineage: Eukaryota; Viridiplantae; Streptophyta; Magnoliopsida; Lamiales; Pedaliaceae.
AGUAAAAUCUAAAAAGUGGUCGGAAAAGAUUCCCUCCAUUAAGGAAGAAGAAGAAGGGAUUCAUCCUCGUUAUCUGAUCCUUGACAACUCAAGUGAAUUGUGAAAUGCCGAUGAUUUGGCGGCAGAUUCAAAUCCUCUUCCAACUCUCGCUCUCUAAAAUCUCCGCCGAAGCUCUCCAUUCUUUGCUUCUCAAAAGUUCGCUUGACCACCAUGAAUACUUCUUCUCUCAUCUCAUCCUCUCCGCCGCUUCCACCUCCCUCCACCAUGCCCGGAAACUCUUUGACAACUCACCUAUUGUCCCACCCCCACUUUUUGCCUGGAACACCCUCAUCAAAGCAUAUUCUAAGACCUCCUCCGCGCAAAUACAUUCUGUAAAGCUCUUUCUUGAAUUACUUCGAACUUCUGAUGUCCUCAAACCUGACAAGUUUACGUAUCCUUUUGUUAUCAAGGCUUGCGGCCAUUGUUUGAUGCUCCGGGUUGGUGAAUCGGUGCACUCCAUGGUUUUCAAGGCGGGUUUUGCUUCGGAUUUACAUGUUAAUAAUACUCUCUUAACAAUGUAUGGUGGGUGUGGUGCGGUUGAGUUCUCCAGAAGACUGUUCGAUGAAAUGUGUGAGAGAGAUGUUGUCUCUUGGAGCUCUAUGAUUGCCGCUUAUGUUGAUUGUAAACUUGAUUUGGAUGCUUUGAGGCUGUUCAAAUAUAUGAACAUGGUAAAUGAGAAGCCCAACUUGGUAACUUUUGUUAGUUUACUUGCUGCGUGUAACAACCUCCUCAAUAUCAGAAUUGGAAAAUCCAUCCAUUCAUAUCUUCUCGUUAAUGGUACAGAAUUGCAUGUUAGCUUGGGUACAGCACUUCUGAAUAUGUAUGCAAAAUCAGGUCACUUGGAGGAAGCAUUACAAAUUUUCAAUACCAUCAACAAGAAAAAUCUGCAGUCUUGGACAGUCAUGAUUUCAUGUCUUGCAGACUAUGGUCGUGGAGAAGAAGCCAUAUCAUUAUUUACCAGAAUGGAAGAAGCUGGCUUGAGACCUGACAGCAUGUCAUUUUCAGUGGUACUUUCUGCUUGUAGCCACAGAGGUCUACUGGACAAGGGACAAGCACUCUUUGAUAAAAUGGUGAAUGUCUACAAUAUCAUACCAACUAUGCAGCACUAUGGAUGCAUGGUUGACUUAUUCGGACGAGCUGGAAAAAUUGAAGAAGCUUAUAAGAUAAUUCUGAGCAUGCCAUUUGAACCUAACUCUGUUAUAAUAAGGAGUUACCUCAGUGCUUGUAAACACCAUGGCCGUGCUCUUUCUUUGGACAAACAUUUAAUUCAACUUCUACUCAAAACAGAGCCCAAUGUUGGAGCAAACUAUUUACUUGCCACCGCUAUAUCUUCUACGUCUGGUUGUAAUGGCAUGGAUAACAUGAGAAAUGCCAUGAAACUAAGAGGUCUGAAGAAAGUUCCUGGCUCAAGUUGGGUCCACGCUCCUGGUGGUGAUCUGGAGGCAUUGGUGAAAACCGAAGAGAUUAUAAAAAUUUGAGGAUACAGAGACCUGCAAACAAGCAUAUUUUAAGGAACUUGGUUUCUGCAACAAGAAUUGGGAUUAAUGUUCAAGGACAUUUGUGUAACGAAGACUUGCAAAUAUUAUAUUCUCUUUAGUGGUCUAUAUCUUCCAUGAACUAUUAUUCCAGGGAACUGCGGUGAGAGAUCAUGAAAAUCAGAAACACCAGCAGAACAGCCACCCCAAGUGGAGAUCCUCCAACCCUGUGAAGUGCAUCCUUCUCCGGGAACGACAAGUAAAAUGGGACACGUUCUCGAUCUUCGCUUGAUAACCAGUGCACAAAGAGCAGCAGAACAACAGGAAACACCAUCAGACAUAUCUUGAAGUUGUCCAUCAAGUCCUCGAACAUGGACUCGUAGUUUAUGUACCAAGUGAAGAUCAAGAAGAGGAAGACUACUGCAAUGAGGAAGAAGAAGUGGAUCGGUAGUGAGAAGUACUGCAGAUAAUCAUAGUAAGAAGAGUUGUAGUAUCUAGCCAUGCUGAGAAAUACAGUUUUGAAUGAGGUCUUUAAGAGCAAAAGAUGAUCAAUAGUAGAGUGUAAAUUAUAUUUAUAUAUAUAUAUAUAUAUAUAUAUAUAUAUAUAUAUAUAUAGGAGCUUUAAUUUGUUGAAGUGGAAGAGAUGAAAGUAUUGGAUGUGCUCUGGAAACCACUAGUUUGCUUUAAAGGGAAAAGCUAAAGUUAAGGGCAAGUUAAGUGAGAUGUUGGGUAUGUUAUAUAGGUGCCAAUGGAGGUCAAUAAUUGCUUCUCUUUAUUGGGAAAUUCUGGUCCACCUGAUCUUUUUGAACUCAAAUCUAUUCAAAUAAUUUAUAUUUUAAAACAGAGCCCUUCACUGUGGCCAGCUUGAACUUUUUAGAGUUAAAUUAGUAGUAAAAGUUUUUAUUAUUUUUCUGCGUUUAUUUUGAAGAAAAGCAGUGCAAUUAGGUAGUGAUAUUACUUUUAAGGAUAUACAAAAUUGAGGGCUUUUUACAUGCAAG